Aedes aegypti (yellow fever mosquito) is the source of this 410-nucleotide long non-coding RNA. RefSeq lists it as uncharacterized. The record is from RefSeq and is a predicted model, not a curated record. NCBI's taxonomy places the organism in Eukaryota, Metazoa, Arthropoda, Insecta, Diptera, Culicidae. The transcript is spliced from 2 exons.
ACAGCACAAAACAAAUCAGGAAAUGAACGCGGAACUAGAGGAAUCCGAAAAGGAAAUGGACUUUGUGCGUAGUACCAAACCAUAGUGAAUCAAUUUUAAAGCUGAAGUGCUGGGCUUAUAAGAUCCGGAUUGAAUGGAAUCAAUUCCACCCACAAAACGAUGGCAUUCUUGUCUUGACGAAGGAACCAAAUGUUUGAAGAAUGAAUGCGUUUUUUUCGGAAAAGCUGAUGCGACGAUGAUAUGCUUUAUUCCGCAAAAUCCACUUUACUGCCCUAAAUCAACUAUGGUAAAUAUGCGCUAUACUGAGAUGUUAAAUAGUACAGAUAUAUCAAACGACGUCAGCUGAUCCGCCAUUCUGCAGCCGGAGCAACAUUAGAUAGAAACAUCCACUUGAAAGAAUAAAUAACGAU